Molecule: long non-coding RNA, 899 nt
Organism: Brassica rapa (field mustard)
Lineage: Eukaryota; Viridiplantae; Streptophyta; Magnoliopsida; Brassicales; Brassicaceae
Source: RefSeq, a predicted model, not a curated record
ACCAUAAAAAAAUCAUACUAGGUCUAUUUCAUCAAUUACAUAUAUUUGAUUAUUUAAGUUAAUAUAUUUAAUAUAUAACAUUUCUAAAAAAUCUUAUAAAUUAUAUAGAUAUUAAUAAAUAAAUUUUAACUGUAAAUUUAAAUUUUAUUUCUACUUAUAACAAGAUAUGUUGGAAAAAAUCUAACAAAACCUUAAUAAUUUUUUUUUUGACAGCAAAAAGCAUUUACAGCCUCAUGCAGACUCUGUAAAUCAAAGUGGCAACUCUGCAUCCAUGUGUACGAUGAACGACGGUUGUAUCCAAGCACUGCGUGCCAACCGAUCCACCAUUGUAUUCUCCGUCCUAGAAACAUGAACGAUUUCCGAGUUGGUGAAGCUUCUUCUCAAAUGCUUAAUAUCCUCCAGAUUAAUGCCUCCAUCUCUACAUGAAGAGGUGAGAGACUUGCCCUUACAUUCCUUGCCCAUAAUAGACCCUCAAACCCCGGAAGAGUACUGAGCCAGCGUUGUCCUGAGAACGAAUCUUUAUCUUUCCAAGAACCAUCCGUAAAACACCAUCUUCCUGUGGUCUCUAUGUUUGAUCUGUUUUGUACUUCAGGUGCCACCCUUGGUGUAUUGAUAAUAUGUGCCUUAGUCCAAAGUGUUGAUUCCAAUUCUGCUAGAUUAACCGUCUCUCUCGGAUCAAUAUCUAUAUUGCUGAAAACUUUAUUAUUCAUACCCUUCUAAAUGUACCAUAAUAUCCAUGCAAACUGAUGAUCAUCCAUUUUCGGGUUGAUUCUCCAAAAUAAGUGAUCCAUAUUAGCGAAUAGAGAGCCAGUAGGAAAAUAGUUUGGAUUUGAUGGAAUCUUAGAUAAUGUCAACACUUGUCGUGCCGGCGGACACUCAAAGAAAACAUGAUUUAUUGA